Molecule: ribosomal RNA, 445 nt
Filed under: uncultured bacterium
Lineage: Bacteria
Description: bacterial SSU rRNA
Rfam family: Bacterial small subunit ribosomal RNA
Source: RNAcentral
AACGCGAAGAACCUUACCUGGCCUUGACAUGCAUUGUGUCUACGGUGAAAGCCGUAUAGUCCGUAGCAAUACGGACGCUUUGCACAGGUGCUGCAUGGCUGUCGUCAGCUCGUGUCGUGAGAUGUUGGGUUAAGUCCCGCAACGAGCGCAACCCUUGUGAUCUGUUGCCAUUCCGCAAGGAGGCACUCUGAUCAGACUGCCCUGUGAAACGGGGAGGAAGGUGGGGAUGACGUCAAGUCAGUAUGGCCCUUACGGCCAGGGCUGCACACGUACUACAAUGCCCACUACAGAAUGAACCAAAGCCGCGAGGUGGAGGAAAUCUCAAAAAGUGGGCUCAGUUCGGAUCGCAGGCUGCAAUUCGCCUGCGUGAAGCCGGAAUCGCUAGUAAUGGCGCAUCAGCUACGGCGCCGUGAAUACGUUCCCGGGCCUUGUACACACCGAUAGC